UUCCGGAGUCAUUCGCGCUAGGUCACGUUCGGUCCAAUCUGCUGGGUCUUUUAUUUGUCCAUUUCUGGUGUGAACUCCGCUCCGCCCGCCUUGCUGUUAGACGUACCAUACGAACAUGGCUCGCAGAAACCAAUGACAUGUGAAAACAGUAGAGGUGACUGUUCAUCACAUAUCAUACAUUGAGCGUCUUUGUCCCGGCCAGUAGAAAUCUUUCCACGAACAUCUUGGGCACUUCAUUGAGUAUACAAUGUGACCAGUCUCUUCUCCACAAUGGUUACAAGCUAGUUUCUCGGGCUCACCAUCAUCCUCAUUAUCAUCAUCCUCAUUAUCAUCGUAUUCGUUUUCAUUGUCACUCUUGUCAGAUUCCCUGUUCUCUUCACCAGAUUCGCUUUCAACAUCACUCUCAGAUUGUGGCAUUUCAUGUUCCUCUUUUUGCAAUUUUUGACAAUAAAUACUCAUUUUUUAUUAAAUCUUUAUUAACCCCUGCUUCUACUAGACCUUUUGUAAACAGGUCGAACCCUCGUGGUUCAGGAAUGUGAGAGUUGUAUGGUAAAAGUGCGUAUUGUAAAAAGUUCUCGAUGUUAAUACCAGGAAUGUCUCUUCCAUGAUAAACAAUCUCACCCUGAGGAUUCCAAGUUAAAAUAUCACUUGAUAUAAGAAUAGAAUGUAGCAUUUUUUCUGCUGUAGUUUUUUGACAUUAUUGUUCAGAUACAAAAAUAUAUCUUCAAUGCGCCAAUGUCGCGGAGAUGUUUUACUCUCGAUUUUCAUUGUUGAAAUUAUGUAUAAUUUGUAGUCACAGGGCUUUUAUACAAGUUCAGCCAGGCUUUCCAAAAUAGGACUUAGUAAUAGUCCAAGGAAACCUUCACCAUGUUGAACGAGUGUCCGUUUUUUUCUUCUUCCAACCUAAGCAUUUCAUGUUUGUAAGGUCGGAGUUUCUUCCUUACAUGCUUCGGCAUUAAAUAUUUUCUUUUCACAACGUUUUCUACACAGAGACACAGGCAGUGUACUUACUCGGCGGUUGCUGUUUCCAGUGGUGCUUGUUGUUGAUCAGGCUCAAACGUGCCCAACAAUUCAAGAAAUGGCUUGUGCCUUAGAAGAUUGAUCAUUUCUGUUCGACGGUUUGGAAGCAAAUGAGUAAAACACAACAAUAAGGAAGCUUAUAUCGGAAGAGAGAAAGCAAUUUAGACAAGGCUCCGAGCUAUUGAGAGCUCGACUCUGAGCUUAUCGAACUUGGCUCCUUGUGCAUGUCAGAUAAGGAAGAUAAGAGGAUAAAUAUAAGGAAGAUAAAGAUAAGAGGAUAAAUAUAAGGAAGAUAAGGAUAAGGAAGAUAAGAAGAUAAAGAUAAGAAGAUAAGGAUAAAGAAGAUAAAGAAAAGGAUAAAGAUAAGAAGAUAAAGAUAAGGAUAAAGAUAAGAAGAUAAAGAUAAAGAUAAGGAAGUUAAGCAUAAGGAACAUGAAGAUUAAGAUAAGGAUAAAGAUAAGAAGAUAAGAAGAUAAAGAUAAGGAUAACGAUAAGAAGAUAAGGAAGAUAAAGAUAAGGAACAUAAAGAUUAAGAUAAGGAUAAAGAUAAGGAAGAUAAAGAUAAGGAUAAAGAUAAGGAUAAAGAUAAGAGGAUAAAGAUAAAGAUAAGGAAGAUAAAGAUAAGGAUAAAGAAGAUUAAGAUAAGGAAGAUAAAGAUAAGGAUAAAGAUAAGGAAGAUAAAGAUAAGGAUAAAGAAGAUAAAGAUAAGAAGAUAAGGAUAAAGAUAAGGAUAAGAAGAUAAAGAUAAAGAAUAUAAGGAAGAUAAAGAUAAGGAUAAAGAUAAGGAAGAAAAAGAUACAGAAUAAUACUGGAUAGAUGCAUUAAUGAAUAUAUAGAACGAAUACGCCAACUUAUUAUCACUUGCAGCUAGACGUUCGUGGUGUGAACAUGUCCUUUCCGUGCAAUAUAUGUGCCAAAGUAUUUUCAACACGCGACAACCUCAAGCGUCAUACUUUGAAUACCCAUGGAGAUGUUCAAAGCAAACCAGUUGAAAUCUCGGCAGGAUCUACAGUUUUGCAGCAUCUGUUUGAAAGUUGAUAUAUUUCUAAUAUUAUUACAUGAAGUAUUACAAUAACAAAUAAAUUUAAUUUAAACUAAUGUUGCGUAAUCUGUCACAGUCCCCGGGUUGAUCAUUAAACAUGAUCAAAUGACUAACUUAAACUAAAUAUGAACUGAUGAACAUUUUCCUAAUGUUUUUACGUUUGUUUUGACAGUUUUCGUACAAGUUCUCCUUGAACAGCUGCCUUUCUUUUUGGUCGAUUCUUCUCUACAACGGCAGUCUUAACAUCAGUGUCUAAUGGUUAUGCACUGAGAUCUUGUGUUCCGGAUGAUUCUUCAUUCACAUCAACUAGUUCUUCUUUAUCCUUGUUACCGAAUUUCGAGUGAAUUUCCAAUGGGA
Paramuricea clavata is the source of this 2419-nucleotide non-coding RNA. NCBI's taxonomy places the organism in Eukaryota, Metazoa, Cnidaria, Anthozoa, Malacalcyonacea, Plexauridae. The record is from the annotation of a GenBank genome assembly.